Molecule: long non-coding RNA, 992 nt
Organism: Thunnus maccoyii (southern bluefin tuna)
Lineage: Eukaryota; Metazoa; Chordata; Actinopteri; Scombriformes; Scombridae
Exons: 3
Source: RefSeq, a predicted model, not a curated record
UUUCGUUUGGCAGCAAGUGCAUUUAGUGCGGCUAAAUGACUUAGCAGCAAGAUGGAUGGUGGAAAAAAGAGGAAGGGUGGAGCAGAGAGGGAGAGAGAGAAUUAAGGAAAGGUGCUUGCAGGAGAUGCUGCCAAAUGCAGCAAAAUUGACCAAAUGUUGGCACGCAUGGGACCACAGCCACCAGGUGGAGAGAGUAGCAUUGGUGCCACAGUAGUACAGAAGACCACUACUUCAGAGCAACCUGCAGGAUGACAUUGAUGCUGGCAGGGAGUGUGUCAUAAAAGGACUCUACAUCUGCCUCAAUGAGGAUCCUGAGGAUCUGGUGCAGGCGUACAUGGUGAGUGUGCCUUUGCCACAUUCUAAAAAAUAAAUGUUUGUUUAAAGAUGUUUAAAAAAAGUAGCCUAAGUUAUAAGAACCUCAUUUUACCAGACAUACCUGUGUGUUGUCUCAUUAGUGCUGAAAUUUGUAUGACUCUGCAUUUGAUUAUAAUAUAUUUAGUUAUAAUUAACAUGGGCUAUGAACACUGAAAACUAUGAAUCAGGAGUAGGACCUAAUGCUUUGCUUAUUAGUCUAAAGUAUGUAGUGUCAUUGCAUUUCACCUGUUGCCUUCAUUCUCUCCAACUCUCCUUUGAAAAGUCCUUGAUACCACUGCCACAACUGCAAAGUUAAAAAUAGCCUUUGUUGUGACUUGAAAAAAUGUCUGAGUGUGAAUUUCAAACUCAUGUGAUGUAAUUGAAGAAACAAUUUUAAUAAAAUGUUGUGAGUUGCUUUCGUGCAUAAGAAAUUACCAUUCACCUGCGUGAUGAACAUUUGGACUGUUGUUUCACCAGUGUUUAUUCACUCGAUUUAAUCUACGUUGGCCUACAAUCCAACCACAGGUUAAAACCAAUUCAGGUCGUCAACUUUGCCAGCAACUUUCAGGGUACACUGGGCUUAUUAUAGUAUAGUGCCACGGCAGAGUGUGCCGACAUUGCAGUCAAAUUAGUAAAUU